GACACUAGAACGUUCUCCUUCUUCGUCUCUCUUUUUUUUUUUUUUUCAAUCCUUCUUUCCUCCUUUCUUUAUUCCUUUCCAUUUCUCCAAAACACCAGAACAUCUUCUUCGUCUUUUUUUUUUUUUUUUUUUUUUUUUUUCUUUCUUCCUUUUUUAAUCCUUCUUUCCUCCUUUCUUUAUUCCUUCCCUGCCAUUUCUCCAAACACCAAAACAUUCUCCUUCUUUGUGGCUGAGAGGGAAGGGCUUGGAGAUCGAAAAUGGGGUCGGAGUCAGAGUCAUCCGGGUUUGAUUGGGUGGUGUUCGCCGAUUUGAUCGAACCCAGAGCUCGGUGUUUUUGACGCUUCGACUUCGAUUUUGUCCUGAAUGCAAUGCAGGAUCAUUGUAUAGCCAUCUGGUUUUUAGUGGAGUAGAUUUUGAUAUAGUUCGUCAUUCACAUACUUACCCAGAUUUGGAUCGUGGACUCAAGCUCUCUGAUGAAGAUCUAGAAGAUCUAGAAUUGGGAACAAAUCUCAUUUGUAGUUCGUUGUCAAGUGCUUUGACCUUCGAAAUGGACCAAAGAAUAGAGAUAAGAGACAAAGAUGCGUGUGGCAUGCAAGAGGCUUGCUCCAAUUUAUUAGAUUGCAAUUUGGGCAAUUUGGCCAAGUUGAAACUCGCCUUCUCCAUAUCAAGAUCUAUUGGGCAAGCUUUUGUUGCAAAAUUUAUGGGGUUGACUAUUUUGUGACCCAAACAAACUCCGAUACAGUGAUACUAACUGAUACAUUGAACAAUUUGCAAAUUCUAAAGUAUUUCUUAAAAGAUGAUUUAAAUAGUUCUGAAUAUUUACCUUCUGUGUUAAAAGUUCACUUCUUGAAUUGAUUGAACCAACUCGGUUGAUUACAA
This is a long non-coding RNA of Quercus robur (English oak), 879 nucleotides long. RefSeq lists it as uncharacterized. The transcript has 3 exons. The record is from RefSeq and is a predicted model, not a curated record. Lineage: Eukaryota; Viridiplantae; Streptophyta; Magnoliopsida; Fagales; Fagaceae.